GGGACUGUGGCUCAGUGGUAGAGCACUUGCUUGGCAGGCUUGAGGGCCUGGGCUCAGUCCCCAGCACACACA
This 72-nucleotide transfer RNA is filed under the name Ictidomys tridecemlineatus (thirteen-lined ground squirrel). RNAcentral describes it as "Spermophilus tridecemlineatus (thirteen-lined ground squirrel) tRNA". It matches the Rfam family "tRNA". From Rfam's summary of the family: Transfer RNA (tRNA) molecules are approximately 80 nucleotides in length. Lineage: Eukaryota; Metazoa; Chordata; Mammalia; Rodentia; Sciuridae. The record is from Rfam by way of RNAcentral.